Molecule: ribosomal RNA, 497 nt
Filed under: uncultured bacterium
Lineage: Bacteria
Description: partial 16S ribosomal RNA
Rfam family: Bacterial small subunit ribosomal RNA
Source: RNAcentral
GAUGAACGCUGGCGGCGUGCCUAAUACAUGCAAGUCGAGCGAACGGACGAGAAGCUUGCUUCUCUGAUGUUAGCGGCGGACGGGUGAGUAACACGUGGAUAACCUACCUAUAAGACUGGGAUAACUUCGGGAAACCGGAGCUAAUACCGGAUGAUAUUUUGAACCGCAUGGUUCAAAAGUGAAAGACGGUCUUGCUGUCACUUAUAGAUGGAUCCGCGCUGCAUUAGCUAGUUGGUAAGGUAACGGCUUACCAAGGCAACGAUGCAUAGCCGACCUGAGAGGGUGAUCGGCCACACUGGAACUGAGACACGGUCCAGACUCCUACGGGAGGCAGCAGUAGGGAAUCUUCCGCAAUGGGCGAAAGCCUGACGGAGCAACGCCGCGUGAGUGAUGAAGGUCUUCGGAUCGUAAAACUCUGUUAUUAGGGAAGAACAUAUGUGUAAGUAACUGUGCACGUCUUGACGGUACCUAAUCAGAAAGCAACGGCUAACUACGUG